RNAcentral lists this small RNA (28 nucleotides) under Bombyx mori (domestic silkworm). RNAcentral's name for it is "ovarian small RNA-23271". The record is from RNAcentral. Lineage: Eukaryota; Metazoa; Arthropoda; Insecta; Lepidoptera; Bombycidae.
UAUAACUGUACCAUUGGCAGCACUGAGC